RNAcentral lists this long non-coding RNA (207 nucleotides) under Mytilus galloprovincialis (Mediterranean mussel). Lineage: Eukaryota; Metazoa; Mollusca; Bivalvia; Mytilida; Mytilidae. The record is from RNAcentral.
UGGGAAUUUCGGCAUUCUGAUGUUUUUGUUUGUAGAUGUGAAUGUGGGGAUAUUUCCCCAUUCUAAUGUUAUUGGUUUUAUAUGUGUAGUGUAUGUGGGGAUUUUCCCCACUGGUACGUUUUUCAAUUCAAGAAUACUAGUUUUCUUCAUUGAGUGGGGAGAUUUCCUCAAAUUUGAUAAAAUCAUGUAAGCGCAUUUCCAUUAACU